This 272-nucleotide ribosomal RNA is filed under the name uncultured Gemmatimonas sp. RNAcentral describes it as "partial 16S ribosomal RNA". It matches the Rfam family "Bacterial small subunit ribosomal RNA", at positions 524 to 776 of the family's 1533-position model. Lineage: Bacteria; Pseudomonadati; Gemmatimonadota; Gemmatimonadia; Gemmatimonadales; Gemmatimonadaceae. The record is from RNAcentral.
UACAGAGGGCGCGAGCGUUGUCCGGAAUCACUGGGCGUAAAGGGCACGUAGGUGGCAUUGUAAGGCCGUGGUGAAAGUCCGGGGCUCAACCCCGGAUCUGCCGCGGCGACUGCAAAGCUUGGGCACCGUAGAGGCAGAUGGAAUUCCGGGUGUAGCGGUGGAAUGCGUAGAGAUCCGGAAGAACACCGGUGGCGAAGGCGGUCUGCUGGGCGGUGGACCCGCAAGGGUCCAAUAGCCGACACUGAGGCGCGACAGCGUGAGGAGCAAACAGG